GCAUGCCUUACACAUGCAAGUCGAACGGUAACGCGGGGCAACCUGGCGACGAGUGGCGAACGGGUGAGUAAUGCAUCGGAACGUGCCCAGAAGUGGGGGAUAGCCCGGCGAAAGCCGGAUUAAUACCGCAUGAGACCUGAGGGUGAAAGCGGGGGAUCGCAAGACCUCGCGCUUUUGGAGCGGCCGAUGUCAGAUUAGCUAGUUGGUGGGGUAAAGGCCUACCAAGGCGACGAUCUGUAGCUGGUCUGAGAGGACGACCAGCCACACUGGGACUGAGACACGGCCCAGACUCCUACGGGAGGCAGCAGUGGGGAAUUUUGGACAAUGGGCGCAAGCCUGAUCCAGCCAUGCCGCGUGCGGGAAGAAGGCCUUCGGGUUGUAAACCGCUUUUGUCAGGGAAGAAACGCUCUGGGCUAAUACCCUGGGGUAAUGACGGUACCUGAAGAAUAAGCACCGGCUAACUACGUGCCAGCAGCCGCGGUAAUACGUAGGGUGCAAGCGUUAAUCGGAAUUACUGGGCGUAAA
This 525-nucleotide ribosomal RNA is filed under the name uncultured bacterium. RNAcentral's name for it is "bacterial SSU rRNA". It matches the Rfam family "Bacterial small subunit ribosomal RNA", at positions 42 to 564 of the family's 1533-position model. The record is from RNAcentral.